RNAcentral lists this long non-coding RNA (257 nucleotides) under Brassica napus (rape). Its description in RNAcentral is "long non-coding RNA (BNAP_LNC005741)". The record is from RNAcentral. Lineage: Eukaryota; Viridiplantae; Streptophyta; Magnoliopsida; Brassicales; Brassicaceae.
CACUUUAGUAUCUUUAGUACUAUCUGCAAUCAGUAAAUCUAGAAUAGUGCUAAAGAGUGGUUAGAUAACAAGCAUGAAUCUAAUAAGUUCAUUACCCCUUCUUGACUCAAUAAAAACAGUUUUGAAAACAUUUUAUAAAACUCAAUAGAUAAGAAAAUAUCAGUAAACAUCCCCCCAGACUUAAAUUACACUGUCCCCAGUGUAACACAGUCGGUGGUAAGGUGAAAAUCAUAAAGCAGAAGUACAAAAUUUAACAA